UACGUAGGGUGCAAGCGUUGUCCGGAAUUAUUGGGCGUAAAGAGCUCGUAGGCGGUUUGUCGCGUCUGCUGUGAAAACUCGGGGCUUAACUCCGGGCCUGCAGUGGGUACGGGCAGACUAGAGUGCGGUAGGGGAGACUGGAAUUCCUGGUGUAGCGGUGAAAUGCGCAGAUAUCAGGAGGAACACCGGUGGCGAAGGCGCACAUCUGGCCCGAUACUGACGCUGAGGCGCGAAAGCUAGGGGAGCAAACGGG
RNAcentral lists this ribosomal RNA (253 nucleotides) under uncultured bacterium. RNAcentral's name for it is "partial 16S ribosomal RNA". It matches the Rfam family "Bacterial small subunit ribosomal RNA", at positions 524 to 776 of the family's 1533-position model. The record is from RNAcentral.